Molecule: ribosomal RNA, 286 nt
Filed under: Prosorhynchoides karvei
Lineage: Eukaryota; Metazoa; Platyhelminthes; Trematoda
Description: partial large subunit ribosomal RNA
Source: RNAcentral
UUAUAACGGUCGUCCGUGCGGGUUCGCUUAACUGCGGGUCUCUGCCCUCGGGUGGGGAUGCUGGGGUACUUGUCAAGUACUACGCGCUCGUGAUGGUUCACCGGGCCGGCUUGCCAGUGCACUUUCUCGGAGUAGUCACCACGACCGGCGCUGCCGCUAGGCUGCUGGUGUUAAACCUGUCGUGUAUAGUCAUUGUGGCUUUAUGCGGUGGGGACGGCAGGUGACUCGUUGGCUUCGCCAUCGAGUGUUAUCAGCUGACAUCAGUGGUACUGUGCGGUGUGUCGGA